GAGCACGUAGGUGGGUUUGUAAGUCAGAUGUGAAAGCCUCCUGUUCAACGGGAGAAUUGCAUCUGAAACUGUGAAUCUUGAGUGUAGGAGGGGAGAGUGGAACUUCUGGUGGAGCGGUGAAAUGCGUAGAUAUCAGAAGGAACGCCGGCGGCGAAAAGCGAUUCUCUGGCCUAUUACUGACACUCAGUGUGCGAAAGCUAGGGGAGCAAACGGGAUUAGAUACCCCGGUAGUCCUAGCCGUAAACGAUGGGCACUAAGUAGAGGGGUUUU
RNAcentral lists this ribosomal RNA (270 nucleotides) under uncultured Planctomycetales bacterium. Its description in RNAcentral is "partial 16S ribosomal RNA". It matches the Rfam family "Bacterial small subunit ribosomal RNA", at positions 565 to 832 of the family's 1533-position model. Lineage: Bacteria; Pseudomonadati; Planctomycetota; Planctomycetia; Planctomycetales. The record is from RNAcentral.